AGUGAACGCUGGCGGUAGGCCUAACACAUGCAAGUCGAACGGCAGCACAGUAAGAGCUUGCUCUUACGGGUGGCGAGUGGCGGACGGGUGAGGAAGACAUCGGAAUCUACUUUUUCGUGGGGGAUAACGUAGGGAAACUUACGCUAAUACCGCAUACGACCUACGUGUGAAAGCAGGGGAUCUUCGGACCUUGCGCGAUUGAAUGAGCCGAUGUCGGAUUAGCUAGUUGGCGGGGUAAAGGCCCACCAAGGCGACGAUCCGUAGCUGGUCUGAGAGGAUGAUCAGCCACACUGGAACUGAGACACGGUCCAGACUCCUACGGGAGGCAGCAGUGGGGAAUAUUGGACAAUGGGCGCAAGCCUGAUCCAGCCAUACCGCGUGGGUGAAGAAGGCCUUCGGGUUGUAAAGCCCUUUUGUUGGGAAAGAAAAGCAGCAGGUUAAUACCCCGCUGUUCUGACGGUACCCAAAGAAUAAGCACCGGCUAACUUCGUG
Molecule: ribosomal RNA, 492 nt
Filed under: uncultured bacterium
Lineage: Bacteria
Description: partial 16S ribosomal RNA
Rfam family: Bacterial small subunit ribosomal RNA
Source: RNAcentral